This 1348-nucleotide long non-coding RNA is filed under the name Homo sapiens (human). RNAcentral describes it as "HSALNT0291762". Lineage: Eukaryota; Metazoa; Chordata; Mammalia; Primates; Hominidae. The record is from RNAcentral.
AAAAAAGCUUCAUACCUAGAAUUGUGUUUAGGGUAGCCCUAGGAUGGUUGUAUCCCCCACCCAAUCUUGACAGAAGCAAAUGUACGUUCUCUCUGGAGGAAAUCACCUUUGACCUAAGCCUGGAAAAAUUCCCACAGCUGAAGACUCAAGACUGGAAUCCCAACUAUUGACAGUUACUGUGUGACCUUGGAUAUGUUAACUUCCCUAAGGCUUAAUUUCCUCCUUCAUAAGAAUGGAAAAAUGCAGUAAAUGCCUCAGUUACUAUGACAGUAGCUUGAGUGAAAGCAUUAGUGUAACACCAGACAAAGAUUUCAGGAAGCUAAGGAUGACUAGUACUUCUGAGAAAACAGCCUAGACUCAAUCAGAAGAAAAUGGGCAUUCAUUAGUUAGCUCUACUAAUAGGAAAUCUCUCUGAAUCUACUCAAAGAACUUGUUGUAAAUUAAGAUGAGAACUGAAUAUGAGCCAAGAGAGUGACUCAGCUGCUAAAAAGAAACAAAAUGCAAACUUGGGCUUCAUUAGAAGAACAGUAUCCAGAAAAGGAGGGUAACAGUACCAUGUAUUCCUCACUACUUAGUUCACAACUGGAGUAUUGUAUUCUGAGGGUUUUUCGUUUUGUUUUAAUAUAGAAUUAAAAAAUAUCACCUAUGGAGGGAAACAUGUUCUGUUCUGAACACCACAUUUUAAGAACACUUACAGGACAGAAUCCUUGGAAGGAGGGAUAUCAAACUAGUGAGGGAUCAGAAACCAAAUGUCAAGUGUAUAAUGACUGAAGAAACUGGGUGUGUUUAGCUUGGAGAAGAAAACACUUUCUAGCCUUCCACCUCACCUCUACCAUACAGACCAGUGUAAUAUUUUCCAGAGGAUUUCAAGAGUUGUUAAUGCACAUUCCAUAAUUAAAGAAGAUUGAGAUAAACACUUUUUUUCUCUAAAUGACUUAAAGUGUUCAAUAUCCUAAAAUGCUUUGUUAAUGUCCAAGAAAAUGAUGAUCGGUAUUUCUCAAAUAUGACCAUUCAUUCAUUCAUUCAACAAAUAUUUAUUAAGCACCAAUUAUUAGCCAACCACUCCUCCAAGUGCUGGGGAUACAACAACGAACAGUUUUAAUAUCCUGGAGGAUAGUGUGGGGAACAGCCAAGCUGGGUCUCUAUUCCUCUAACUUGCAUUGUGCUUCCUCAUUUCUAAGUCUUUGACUAUGCUCUCAGCCUAGAAUGCUCCAUGUCUAAUCUUAAUCCAAACACUAUCUCAUCCACGAAGCUUUUGUCAUCAUCAUAAGCAAAAAACACUCCCUCUUCUCAGUAAACCCAUAGCUCUUAGUAUCUGUACCCAUUUCUUGCUAAGAGACUAUGCCUC